GACGAACGCUGGCGGCGUGCUUAACACAUGCAAGUCGAACGGAAAGGCCCUGCUUUUGUGGGGUGCUCGAGUGGCGAACGGGUGAGUAACACGUGAGUAACCUGCCCUUGACUUUGGGAUAACUUCAGGAAACUGGGGCUAAUACCGGAUAGGAGCUACUGCUGCAUGGUGGGGGUUGGAAAGUUUCGGCGGUUGGGGAUGGACUCGCGGCUUAUCAGCUUGUUGGUGGGGUAGUGGCUUACCAAGGCUUUGACGGGUAGCCGGCCUGAGAGGGUGACCGGCCACAUUGGGACGGAGAUACGGCCCAGACUCCUACGGGAGGCAGCAGUGGGGAAUAUUGCACAAUGGGCGGAAGCCUGAUGCAGCAACGCCGCGUGCGGGAUGACGGCCUUCGGGUUGUAAACCGCUUUCGCCUGUGACGAAGCGUGAGUGACGGUAAUGGGUAAAGAAGCACCGGCUAACUACGUG
RNAcentral lists this ribosomal RNA (468 nucleotides) under uncultured bacterium. RNAcentral's name for it is "partial 16S ribosomal RNA". It matches the Rfam family "Bacterial small subunit ribosomal RNA", at positions 28 to 507 of the family's 1533-position model. The record is from RNAcentral.